GCUUAGCCCUAAACCUAGAUAGUUAUUAUAACAAAACUAUUCGCCAGAGAACUACUAGCCAGCGCUUAAAACUCAAAGGACUUGGCGGUGCCCUAAACCCACCUAGAGGAGCCUGUUCUAUAAUCGAUAAACCCCGAUAGACCUCACCUCUUCUUGCUAAUACAGUCUAUAUACCGCCAUCGUCAGCUUACCCCAACAGGGAGGAAAAGUAAGCAAGAUAAUUAACCAUAAAAACGUUAGGUCAAGGUGUAACAUAUGAAGAGGAAAGUAAUGGGCUACAUUUUCUAUUUUAGAACACAACGGAUCAUCUUAUGAAACCUAAGAUAUGAAGGAGGAUUUAGCAGUAAAUCAAGAAUAGAGAGCUUGGUUGAAACAGGCAAUAGGGCGCGC
This 390-nucleotide ribosomal RNA is filed under the name Burramys parvus (mountain pygmy possum). Its description in RNAcentral is "partial 12S ribosomal RNA". It matches the Rfam family "Bacterial small subunit ribosomal RNA", at positions 794 to 1384 of the family's 1533-position model. The record is from RNAcentral. Lineage: Eukaryota; Metazoa; Chordata; Mammalia; Diprotodontia; Burramyidae.